UACGUAGGGGGCAAGCGUUGUCCGGAUUCAUUGGGCGUAAAGAGCGUGUAGGCGGCCAGGUAGGUCGGUUGUGAAAACUGGAGGCUCAACCUUCAGAGGUCGACCGAAACCAUCUGGCUAGAGUCCGGGAGAGGAGAGUAGAAUUCCUGGUGUAGCGGUGAAAUGCGCAGAUAUCAGGAAGAACACCCGUGGCGAAAGCGGCUCUCUGGAACGGUACUGACGCUGAGACGCGAAAGCGUGGGGAGCGAACAGG
Molecule: ribosomal RNA, 253 nt
Filed under: uncultured bacterium
Lineage: Bacteria
Description: partial 16S ribosomal RNA
Rfam family: Bacterial small subunit ribosomal RNA
Source: RNAcentral